Molecule: long non-coding RNA, 225 nt
Filed under: Nicotiana benthamiana
Lineage: Eukaryota; Viridiplantae; Streptophyta; Magnoliopsida; Solanales; Solanaceae
Description: long non-coding RNA (NBEN_LNC020751)
Source: RNAcentral
GAUACAAUGUUGAACACACCAUCAAGGUGAACGGACUUCUUAGUGUUUGAAGGCACUACUUUAAAUCCUGCCUUAUUUGAACCACCCCAUUGAGAUAACACCACCUGUUCCAUUGCACCUUUUUCCAAGCCAUCAGCAUGGUGUUGCAAAGAUGGUGUGACGUUGUCCUUUGUACCUUCUUUCUCCAAAUUCUCUAGAGAUGUUUCCUCCACCAAUUUAUUAGCA